RNAcentral lists this ribosomal RNA (1327 nucleotides) under metagenome. RNAcentral describes it as "bacterial LSU rRNA". It matches the Rfam family "Bacterial large subunit ribosomal RNA", at positions 1577 to 2925 of the family's 2925-position model. The record is from RNAcentral.
CAUUAGUAGAGAAGCGUGUGAGCCAGCUGCCAAGAAAAGCCGCUAUUGUUUCAUAAGUACCCGUACCGUAAACCGACACAGGUGGAUGAGGAGAGAAUCCUAAGGCCGGCGGGAGAAGUGUUGUUAAGGAACUCGGCAAAAUGACUCCGUAACUUCGGGAGAAGGAGUGCCACAGAGAUGUGGCCGCAGAGAAAUGGCCCAAGCAACUGUUUAGCAAAAACACAGGUCUAUGCAAAACCGAAAGGUGAGGUAUAUGGGCUGACGCCUGCCCGGUGCUGGAAGGUUAAGAGGAGAGGUUAGAGCAAUCGAAGCUUUGAAUUUAAGCCCCAGUAAACGGCGGCCGUAACAAUAACGGUCCUAGGUAGCGAAAUUCCUUGUCGGGUAAGUUCCGACCCGCACGAAAGGCGUAAAGGAUUUGGGCACUGUCUCAACAACACACCCGGUGAAAUUGAAAUACCAGUGAAGAUGCUGGUUACCUGCGCCAGGACGGAAAGACCCCAUGGAGCUUUACUCCAGUUUGAUACUGGGAUUCGGUACUGUCUGUACAGGAUAGGUGGGAGGCUAGGAAAUGGUGACGCCAGUUGCCAUGGAGCCAACCUUGGGAUACCACCCUUACAGUACUGGGUUUCUAACCUGCAGCCGUAACCCGGCUGGGGGACAAUGUCUGACGGGGAGUUUGACUGGGGCGGUCGCCUCCGAAAGAGUAUCGGAGGCGCUCAAAGGUUCCCUCAGAACGGUUGGAAACCGUUCGAAGAGUGCAAAGGCAGAAGGGAGCUUGACUGCGACACCGACGGGUGGAGCAGAUACGGAAGUAGGACUUAGUGAUCCGGUGGUAUAAAGUGGGAUUGCCAUCGCUCAACGGAUAAAAGCUACCCUGGGAUAACAGGCUUAUCACUCCCAAGAGUUCACAUCGACGGAGUGGUUUGGCACCUCGAUGUCGGCUCAUCGCAUCCUGGAGCUGUAGCAGGUUCCAAGGGUUGGGCUGUUCGCCCAUUAAAGCGGUACGCGAGCUGGGUUCAGAACGUCGUGAGACAGUUCGGUCCCUAUCCGGCGUGGGCGUAGGAUAUUUGAGAGGAGCUGUCCUUAGUACGAGAGGACCGGGAUGGACAAACCUCUGGUGUAUCUGUUGUUUUACCAAAGGCAUGGCAGAGUAGCCAAGUUUGGCAGGGAUAAACGCUGAAGGCAUCUAAGCGUGAAGCCCCCCUCAAGAUAAGAUAUCCCAUCUUCGGAGUAAGACCCCUUGAAGACUACAAGGUUGAUAGGCUUCAGGUGUAAGUGCGGUAACGCACUCAGCUGAGAAGUACUAAUAGGUCGAGGACUUACCAAA